RNAcentral lists this long non-coding RNA (2921 nucleotides) under Nicotiana benthamiana. Its description in RNAcentral is "long non-coding RNA (NBEN_LNC042278)". The record is from RNAcentral. Lineage: Eukaryota; Viridiplantae; Streptophyta; Magnoliopsida; Solanales; Solanaceae.
GAAAAUGGGUUGCUUAGCCCUGGUCUUGCACCAGACUGAAACUUACUCAAAUUUACUUUAAGUGCGUUCAAUAAACUUGUGACAGGGAAAAGCAAGAUGGAGGUAUUAAACCUAAAGAAUAAGUUGCCCAGAUGUGAACAUUAUUCCCCUAUUAUCGAGCCUUAUUUAAGAGCUAUUGCUUUUGAAUCUAUGACUUCCAAUUAAAUCAAGUCCUUAAAGGUUUUGGGACUUCAAUAUUUGCCCAGGAACUGAAUGGGCUAACCUGCCUUGGCGAAUUGCUAUAGGCAUGGCAUUUGGGUUGUCUGUGAAAGACAUUGUAGCACAAACUGUUUGAAAAUGGGCUGCUUAGUCCUGGUCUUGCACCAGACUGAAACUUACUCAAACUUGCUUUAAGUGCGUUCAAUAACCUUGUGACAGGGAAAAGCAAGAUGGAAAUAUUAAACCUAAAGGCCAAGUUGCCCAGAUGUGAACAUUAUUCCCCUGUUAUCUAUUCAAAUUCUAAUGCUAUUUUGAAGAGGUCACUUCAAGCGAAUUAACACUAAAAGUAUAAUCAUUCAUGUGAAAUUGUCAAUCUGUGAAUUUAUACUAAUGGUUAUAAAAAACAAACACGGCCAUCCUAAUGAUUAACAACUAUAUUAUGAAAUCAAACUUACCUAAUCAAAACUGAAUAACACUUUUAGCAUGAGCAGACUAAGCAAAUUAACUGAUCUCAAUGUUAAGGCACCUUACGAAUAGUUCAAGAGUCCAAUUUUAUACGUCUUAUCCAUCAAAAAAUUUGUUUUAAAUAUAUGGAAUACAAACAGAACUGGAAAACUCAAGUAAUUCCACUACAUUCAUCAUUUUCAACUCUUCAACAUCAAAUUUACAAUGACUCCUUCACAGUUCUUAAGAGAUCGAGGUGGUACCUGGAAAUAUGACGAGCAGAAGGAGCAGUUAGCAACAGAAGCGCAAACAACUACAAUUUGGAUUUCACACAGUAACAAACAUAGCCGAUUUCGAACCAGAAACUAGUCAGUGACCCAAAGUAACCCAGAAAUGCUUUAAACCAAACAACAAUGAUAUAUCAACCACAAGACAGCACCAAAAUCCCCAAAAAUGAACACAGGAAAUCAGCACACUCAACAAAUGAACCACAAUUGACUCGAAUUAGCAAAAUCCAAUACCUAGAUUACUCGAACUACUAAUAAAUCUCAGAUAUUGCACAGAACAAGAAAAUUCAAGUAGCUUCAAUCCUAACUGAGCUAGUGACAUGAACUACAUGGUGGAAUCUAAAAAGGACAUAAGGAGUACUAAUGUGAAAGCAAUUUUUUUGGAUUUUCUAUUGCUUUGUGUAUUUUUUUAGAUAUUCAGAUGAAGAGGGAGAUUCGAAUUUUAGAUCUGGUGUUACAAUAUGAAAUUCAAAUCUUAGUUUUGGUGGAGACGUAGAGAAUUUUUGGGGGAGAUCUUUGGGCUCCAAAACCUGUUAUUCAAGGCAUUAUUCAUGCCUUUUUAUAGGCCAAUGGAGGGGCAUCCCUCACAUUUCUGUUUCCCUAUUAGUCCCUUUUUAUUUUCAGCUUUGGUCCAUCAUUUUUUAACUUGUUUUCCAAGUUACUGCUUUUAAAAAGCUGAAACUUACACUAAAGCCCCCUUCUAGAAGGCCCUAGGAUGUUCUUUUACCUAUACAAUACCUAUACUACCCUUAUUUUGGUUUUGAAAUUACUAUUCCUGACAAAAUAGCCCUUUUCCAUGUCCAAACUACCCUUGAAUACUUAAUAAAAUUCCACCAAACCCUUUUGCCUUAGUUAAUAUUCAACUAUGGUUAAAACCAGUGAUUCUACAUAAGCUAUAUCUAAACCCUAAGCCUAACUAACUUGAAAAUGAACACUAAAUUGAAGAACAAUCAAAGCUAAACUAAUUAAACUAACAAAAUAUUAAUUCAAUCAAAAAAAUCAAACAGUACCCAAAAUAGAUUUGAAACUAAAAUCGAACAGGAAACAACGAUCAAAUUGCAAAGUUAAUACUCAUGUGUUUAAACCAAAUAUUACACUGCUAAUGAGAAUCAAACUAAUGAUUAGAAUUAAACUAAUACCUAUAAUGAAACUAGCCAAAACAUAAUGAAACAUCGAAAAUUAAACUAAUAAGAACCCAUUACUGCAAUUCGAGUCAAAUUGGAACAAAAGCAAACAAAUACAUUGGAUCAAUACGGACACACAUAAAAAAUAGAAGGAAAUUAAGAAACUCAUUGUUUUUGACUUUAAUGUGUUAACUUGAAAUUGGCCAGAGGUGACUUGGCUUGAAAUUGCUUGACCAAUAUUAGUGUUGAACCGUGUGUUUUCCAUGAGAAAAUACACGGAUAAACCUUAUAAUGGUCAAGCCAUCAAUAGAAACCCUAACUCGCAACACUAGGGUUAUUUAGCCGGCCUUCAACCCAAAAUUGGAAGAUUUCCGGAAUGAUUUGAGGGUUAUGGGCUACGAUUCGUAAAGAGGAGGGUGGGGAGAACACAUGGUGUUAAUUUGGUGGAUUUUUGAGCAAGUAAGGUUUUAAGCCGGCAUUUCGAUCUAUGAUUUGAGAAGAUCGGCUAGGAUUUGAGGUGGGAUUUGGGGAUUUGGAAAGAGGAGGGGACGGAUUCAAUGUUAUAAUUUUGGGGUCCAUCGGAGCAUCGUCGCCGGCGGAGACAAUUUCCUGCCGACGGCGGACGGCGGAGGACGGCGAGGUAACGAGAUUGUACGAGGAAGAGAAGAAAUAUUUCUUAGAGUUAAUGAAAUUUUGGAUAUUUUUAACUAAUAUGAAGAAAUAACAUGGGCCGUUGGAUCAGAGGAGGUGAAGGGUUGAGAAUUAACGACGCCAAACGAGGUCGUUUGGUUAGAAGGGGAGGCUGGGAUUGGGUUGGAGAUGGCUGGGCCUAGGUCGUUUGGUACGGUUGGGCUAAGAAUCCUUAAUU